UACGGAGGAUCCGAGCGUUAUCCGGAUUUAUUGGGUUUAAAGGGUGCGUAGGUGGGACAAUAAGUCAGUUGUGAAAGUUUGCGGCUCAACCGUAAAAUUGCAAUUGAAACUGUCGUUCUUGAGUGUACAUGAGGUGAGCGGAAUUCGUGGUGUAGCGGUGAAAUGCUUAGAUAUCACGAAGAACUCCGAUUGCGAAGGCAGCUCACUGGGGUACAACUGACACUGAGGCACGAAAGUGUGGGUAUCAAAC
This 250-nucleotide ribosomal RNA is filed under the name uncultured bacterium. Its description in RNAcentral is "partial 16S ribosomal RNA". It matches the Rfam family "Bacterial small subunit ribosomal RNA", at positions 524 to 773 of the family's 1533-position model. The record is from RNAcentral.